RNAcentral lists this ribosomal RNA (450 nucleotides) under uncultured bacterium. RNAcentral describes it as "partial 16S ribosomal RNA". It matches the Rfam family "Bacterial small subunit ribosomal RNA", at positions 354 to 796 of the family's 1533-position model. The record is from RNAcentral.
GUGGGGAAUAUUGGACAAUGGGCGAAAGCCUGAUCCAGCCAUGCCGCGUGUGUGAAGAAGGUCUUCGGAUUGUAAAGCACUUUAAGUUGGGAGGAAGGGCAGUAAGUUAAUACCUUGCUGUUUUGACGUUACCGACAGAAUAAGCACCGGCUAACUUCGUGCCAGCAGCCGCGGUAAUACGAAGGGUGCAAGCGUUAAUCGGAAUUACUGGGCGUAAAGCGCGCGUAGGUGGGUUUGUAAGUUGGAGGUGAAAUCCCCGGGCUCAACCUGGGAACUGCCUCCAAAACUGCAUGACUAGAGUACGGUAGAGGGUAGUGGAAUUUCCUGUGUAGCGGUGAAAUGCGUAGAUAUAGGAAGGAACACCAGUGGCGAAGGCGACUACCUGGACUGAUACUGACACUGAGGUGCGAAAGCGUGGGGAGCAAACAGGAUUAGAUACCCUUGUAGUCC